UACGUAGGGCGAACGUAGUCGGAUUACUGGUGUAAGGUAGCUCAGGCGGUUUGUUAAGUCAGAAGUGAAAUCCUAGAGCUUAACUCUGGAACUGCUUUUGUAUACUGCAAGGCUUGAAUGUGGAAGAGGAGGAUGGAAUUUCUGGUGUAGCAGUGAAAUGCGUAGAUAUCAGAAAGAACACCAGUGGCGAAGGCGGUCCUCUGGUCCACUAUUGACGCUAAAGCACG
This 227-nucleotide ribosomal RNA is filed under the name uncultured bacterium. RNAcentral describes it as "partial 16S ribosomal RNA". It matches the Rfam family "Bacterial small subunit ribosomal RNA", at positions 524 to 755 of the family's 1533-position model. The record is from RNAcentral.